AGGGCUUAUCGGACUCCAAUUUCCAAAGCUAAGCGAGGAGGAUAUAAGGAUACUCCAGCUGAUGAUUUACUUGCAGUUGUUUUAAAGGCCAUGAUAGAGAAAACAAAUCUGGACCCAAGUGAAGUUGGGGAUAUAGUUGUUGGUACUGUUUUGCCACCUGGUUCACAAAGAGCAACAAAGUGCAGAAUGGCAGCAAUCUAUGCUGGUUUUCCUGAAAAAGAAAAUCUCUAUUUCACCAUUGAAGAUCUGCCCCUACUUGCUUCUCUUCUGGUCAUCUUGAGUGUCUCUAGUCAUCUCUAAAGUUCUUGGUCAACUAUGUCUCAUAGUCUACUCUAUUGGAAGGGUUCUUAAAAGCUUGAGAAAUUGGUCUACCUGUGUUGUCUUCUUAUGUAACUGAAGUUGUUUCAUGAGUUUCAAAAGCUUGAUUCAUGAAUUGGAUUGCUUACUUCUUCAUGCAGAAAAUGGGAUCAAUAGCAGAUGAAUUGGAUCCAUGUUGAACAAUUGG
This is a long non-coding RNA of Humulus lupulus (European hop), 505 nucleotides long. RefSeq lists it as uncharacterized. The record is from RefSeq and is a predicted model, not a curated record. Lineage: Eukaryota; Viridiplantae; Streptophyta; Magnoliopsida; Rosales; Cannabaceae. The transcript has 5 exons.